CUUGGUCAUUUAGAGGAAGUAAAAGUCGUAACAAGGUUUCCGUAGGUGAACCUGCGGAAGGAUCAUUAUUGAAAUAAACCUGAUGAGUUGCUGCUGGUUCUCUAGGGAACAUUGUGCACACUUGUCAUCUUUAUAUCUCCACCUGUGCACCUUUUGUAGACCUGGAUAUCUUUCUGAAUGCAUUAGCAUUCAGGUUUUGAGGAUUGACUUCAUGUCUCUCCUUACAUUUCCAGGCCUAUGUUUUUCAUAUACCCCAAUGUAUGUUAUAGAAUGUAAUAAAUGGGCCUUUGUGCCUAUAAACCUAUACAACUUUCAGCAACGGAUCUCUUGGCUCUCGCAUCGAUGAAGAACGCAGCGAAAUGCGAUAAGUAAUGUGAAUUGCAGAAUUCAGUGAAUCAUCGAAUCUUUGAACGCACCUUGCGCUCCUUGGUAUUCCGAGGAGCAUGCCUGUUUGAGUGUCAUUAAUAUAUCAACUUCUUCAGCUUUUGCUUGUUGAAUGUUGGAUGUGGGGGUUAUUUUUUUGCUGGUCUCUCUUCUGAGGUCAGCUCCCCUGAAAUGCAUUAGCGGAACAAUUUGUUGACUGUUCAUUGGUGUGAUAACUAUCUAYGCUAUUGAUGGAAAACAGUUCAGCUUCUAACAGUCCAUUGACUUGGACAAAAUUUUAUUAAUGUGACCUCAAAUCAGGUAGGACUACCCGCUGAACUUAAGCAUAUCAAUAAGCGGAGGA
This 727-nucleotide ribosomal RNA is filed under the name Cortinarius viscoviridis. RNAcentral's name for it is "eukaryotic LSU rRNA". The stretch from base 308 to 461 matches the Rfam family "5.8S ribosomal RNA". Lineage: Eukaryota; Fungi; Basidiomycota; Agaricomycetes; Agaricales; Cortinariaceae. The record is from RNAcentral.